This 24-nucleotide non-coding RNA is filed under the name Cricetulus griseus (Chinese hamster). Lineage: Eukaryota; Metazoa; Chordata; Mammalia; Rodentia; Cricetidae. The record is from RNAcentral.
UUAGGUGGCUUUCUUUCUUUGUAG